Molecule: ribosomal RNA, 522 nt
Filed under: uncultured bacterium
Lineage: Bacteria
Description: bacterial SSU rRNA
Rfam family: Bacterial small subunit ribosomal RNA
Source: RNAcentral
AUUGAACGCUGGCGGCAUGCCUUACACAUGCAAGUCGAACGGCAGCACGGACUUCGGUCUGGUGGCGAGUGGCGAACGGGUGAGUAAUAUAUCGGAACAUACCCAGUAGUGGGGGAUAACUAUCCGAAAGGAUAGCUAAUACCGCAUACGAUCUGUGGAUGAAAGCAGGGGAUCUUCGGACCUUGUGCUAUUGGAAUGGCCGAUAUCUGAUUAGCUAGUUGGUAGGGUAAAAGCCUACCAAGGCGACGAUCAGUAGCUGGUCUGAGAGGACGACCAGCCACACUGGAACUGAGACACGGUCCAGACUCCUACGGGAGGCAGCAGUGGGGAAUUUUGGACAAUGGGGGCAACCCUGAUCCAGCAAUGCCGCGUGAGUGAAGAAGGCCCUCGGGUUGUAAAGCUCUUUUGUCAGGGAAGAAACGGAGUUCUCUAAUAUAGGAUUCUAAUGACGGUACCUGAAGAAUAAGCACCGGCUAACUACGUGCCAGCAGCCGCGGUAAUACGUAGGGUGCAAGCGUUAAU